GUGCUCGCUUCGGCAGCACAUACACUAAAACUGGAACGAUGCAGAGGAGAUUAGCAUGGCCCCUGCGCAAGGAUGACAUGCAAAUUCAUGAAGCGUUUCAUACUUUU
Molecule: small nuclear RNA, 107 nt
Filed under: Myotis brandtii (Brandt's bat)
Lineage: Eukaryota; Metazoa; Chordata; Mammalia; Chiroptera; Vespertilionidae
Source: RNAcentral